Molecule: small RNA, 108 nt
Filed under: Capnocytophaga haemolytica
Lineage: Bacteria; Pseudomonadati; Bacteroidota; Flavobacteriia; Flavobacteriales; Flavobacteriaceae
Description: 6S-Flavo RNA
Source: RNAcentral
ACUCAACAUUAACAAUCGUAAAAGAAGGUGAGUUGAGCCAGCUAAAGCGUGCCACCGUGCGUGGAUACUUGAUCUGCUCAGUAGCCUUAAACCUGUUUUUCAGAGUUU